CUGCCACUUAAAGGAGAAAAGUUUAGCACUCCCUUUGACAAGGAUGGAAGAGGCCCUUCAUCCUAACAACAUGCAUAUUGUUAAGGCAUUGACACUUACUUCCUGGUACCUAACCACUGUUUUUA
Molecule: small nuclear RNA, 125 nt
Organism: Cricetulus griseus (Chinese hamster)
Lineage: Eukaryota; Metazoa; Chordata; Mammalia; Rodentia; Cricetidae
Source: Ensembl